Molecule: ribosomal RNA, 482 nt
Filed under: uncultured bacterium
Lineage: Bacteria
Description: bacterial SSU rRNA
Rfam family: Bacterial small subunit ribosomal RNA
Source: RNAcentral
GAUAAACGCUGGCGGCGCACAUAAGACAUGCAAGUCGAACGGACUUAACUUCAUUCUUUACGAUUGAAGAGCGGUUAGUGGCGGACUGGUGAGUAACACGUAAGCAACCUGCCUAUCAGAGGGGAAUAACAGCGAGAAAUCGUUGCUAAUACCGCAUAAGCUGAUAAUAUCGCAUGAUAUAGUCAGAAAAGGAGCAAUCCGCUGAUAGAUGGGCUUGCGUCUGAUUAGCUAGUUGGUGGGGUAAUGGCCUACCAAGGCGACGAUCAGUAGCCGAGCUGAGCGGCUCAACGGCCACAUUGGGACUGAGAUACGGCCCAGACUCCUACGGGAGGCAGCAGUCGGGAAUAUUGCGCAAUGGAGGAAACUCUGACGCAGUGACGCCGCGUAUAGGAUGAAGGUUUUCGGAUCGUAAACUUCUAUCAACAGGGAAGAAAAAAAUAGACGGUACCUGAAUAAGAAGACCCCGGCUAACUACGUGCCAG